AGAGUUUGAUCAUGGCUCAGAACGAACGCUGGCGGCGGGCCUCAUACAUGCAAGUCGAGCGCGUGUAGCAAUACACGAGCGGCGUACGGGUGAGUAACGGGUGGAUAAUCUGCCUCCGGGUGGGGGAUAACGGCUGGAAACGGCCGCUAAUACCGCAUACGGUUGCUGGCCUUCGGGCUUGGCAAAGAAAGGGGCUUCACAGCCUCGCCGGGAGAUGAGUCCGCCUCCGAUUAGCUAGUUGGUAGGGUAACGGCCUACCAAGGCUUUGAUCGGUAGCCGAACUGAGAGGUUGAUCGGCCACACUGGAACUGAGACACGGUCCAGACACCUACGGGUGGCAGCAGUAGGGAGUAUUGCGCAAUGGGCGAAAGCCUGACGCAGCCACGCCGCGUGGAUGAUGAAGGCCUUCGGGUCGUAAAGUCCUUUUAUGAGGGAAGAACGGCCUGGUGAGGAAAUGCACUGGGCGUGACGGUACCUCAGGAAUAAGCCACGGCUAACUCUGUGCCAGCAGCCGCGGUAAUACAGAGGUGGCUAGCGUUGUUCGGAAUUACUGGGCGUAAAGGGAGCGCAGGCGGCCAGGUCAGUCUGAAGUGCAAGCCCGGGGCUCAACCCCGGAAUCGCUUUGGAUACUACCUGGCUUGAGUAUGUCAGAGGUGAGCGGAAUUCCAGGUAGCGGUGAAAUGCGUAGAUAUCUGGAGGAACAUCCGUGGCGAAGGCGGCUCACUGGGACACAACUGACGCUGAGGCUCGAAAGCGUGGGGAGCGAACGGGAUUAGAUACCCCAGUAGUCC
RNAcentral lists this ribosomal RNA (791 nucleotides) under uncultured bacterium. Its description in RNAcentral is "bacterial SSU rRNA". It matches the Rfam family "Bacterial small subunit ribosomal RNA", at positions 8 to 796 of the family's 1533-position model. The record is from RNAcentral.